GACGAACGCUGGCGGCGUGCUUAACACAUGCAAGUCGAACGGAAAGGCCCUGCUUUUGUGGGGUGCUCGAGUGGCGAACGGGUGAGUAACACGUGAGUAACCUGCCCUUGACUUUGGGAUAACUUCAGGAAACUGGGGCUAAUACCGGAUAGGAGCUCCUGCUGCAUGGUGGGGGUUGGAAAGGUUCGGCGGUUGGGGAUGGACUCGCGGCUUAUCAGCUUGUUGGUGGGGUAGUGGCUUACCAAGGCUUUGACGGGUAGCCGGCCUGAGAGGGUGACCGGCCACAUUGGGACUGAGAUACGGCCCAGACUCCUACGGGAGGCAGCAGUGGGGAAUAUUGCACAAUGGGCGGAAGCCUGAUGCAGCAACGCCGCGUGCGGGAUGACGGCCUUCGGGUUGUAAACCGCUUUCGCCUGUGACGAAGCGUGAGUGACGGUAAUGGGUAAAGAAGCACCGGCUAACUCCGUG
This 468-nucleotide ribosomal RNA is filed under the name uncultured bacterium. RNAcentral's name for it is "partial 16S ribosomal RNA". It matches the Rfam family "Bacterial small subunit ribosomal RNA", at positions 28 to 507 of the family's 1533-position model. The record is from RNAcentral.